Molecule: transfer RNA, 61 nt
Filed under: Blastocatellia bacterium
Lineage: Bacteria; Pseudomonadati; Acidobacteriota; Blastocatellia
Description: tRNA-Met
Rfam family: tRNA
About the family: Transfer RNA (tRNA) molecules are approximately 80 nucleotides in length.
Source: RNAcentral
GUAGCUCAGUUGGUGAGAGCACGCGUCUCAUAAGCGCGGGGUCGGCGGUUCGAGUCCGCCC